Molecule: ribosomal RNA, 498 nt
Filed under: uncultured bacterium
Lineage: Bacteria
Description: partial 16S ribosomal RNA
Rfam family: Bacterial small subunit ribosomal RNA
Source: RNAcentral
AUUGAACGCUGGCGGCAUGCCUUACACAUGCAAGUCGAACGGUAACAGGUCUUCGGAUGCUGACGAGUGGCGAACGGGUGAGUAAUACAUCGGAACGUGCCUAGUAGUGGGGGAUAACUACUCGAAAGAGUGGCUAAUACCGCAUGAGCUCUACGGAUGAAAGCAGGGGAUCGCAAGACCUUGUGCUACUAGAGCGGCCGAUGGCAGAUUAGGUAGUUGGUGGGAUAAAAGCUUACCAAGCCGACGAUCUGUGGCUGGUCUGAGAGGACGAUCAGCCACACUGGGACUGAGAAACGGCCCAGACUCCUACGGGAGGCAGCAGUGGGGAAUUUUGGACAAUGGGCGCAAGCCUGAUCCAGCAAUGCCGCGUGCAGGAUGAAGGCCUUCGGGUUGUAAACUGCUUUUGUACGGAACGAAAAGCCCCGGGUUAAUACCCUGGGGUCAUGACGGUACCGUAAGAAUAAGCACCGGCUAACUACGUGACAGCCGCCGCCGUAA